GCGGGGGUCGCCAAGCCUGGUCAAAGGCGCAGGGCUGAGGCCCCUCUGGACACUAGGGGUUCGUGGGUUCAAAUCCCACCCCCCGCA
This 87-nucleotide transfer RNA is filed under the name Nitrososphaeria archaeon. Its description in RNAcentral is "tRNA-Leu". It matches the Rfam family "tRNA". From Rfam's summary of the family: Transfer RNA (tRNA) molecules are approximately 80 nucleotides in length. Lineage: Archaea; Thermoproteati; Nitrososphaerota; Nitrososphaeria. The record is from RNAcentral.